GAUGAAGAACGUAGUGAAAUGCGAUACUUGGUGUGAAUUGCAGAAUCCCGUGAACCAUCGAGUCUUUGAACGCAAGUUGCGCCUCAAGCCAUUAGGUUGAGGGCACGUCUGCCUGGGCGUCACAUAUCGUUGCCUGAUGCCAGUUUCCUCGUGAUGGGUGACUGUGCAGGGCGAAUGAUGGCUUCCCGUGAGCAUUGUUGCCUCAUGGUUGGUUGAAAAUUGAGUCCUUGGUAGGGAGCGCCGUGAUAGAUGGUGGUUGAGUGACGAACGAGACCCAAUCAUGUGCAUGCUCCCCAAAAUAUGGCCUCUGUGACCCACACGCGUCUUUUGACGCUCAUGACGAGACCUCAGGUCAGGCGGGGCUACCCGCUGAAUUUAAGCAUAUCAAUAAGCGGAGGA
RNAcentral lists this unclassified non-coding RNA (399 nucleotides) under soil metagenome. RNAcentral describes it as "partial contains 5.8S ribosomal RNA, internal transcribed spacer 2, and large subunit ribosomal RNA". The stretch from base 1 to 122 matches the Rfam family "5.8S ribosomal RNA", at positions 35 to 154 of the family's 154-position model. The record is from RNAcentral.